UUAAUGCUCCUUGGCUUCAAGAAUUAAAGAUCCUUGGGGAAUUUGUAGGUACUGAAUGUCAUCUGAUUGCCAUGUCCUCCUUAGUUUACGCUAAGCUCACUUUUGCACGUAUUGCCCACGAAGGUAAUGUGGAUGCCUUGUCGCUGGAUUUGGCCAUUAAAGUACUUGAAAGUACACCAAGUUGAGGACCUAGUACUUGUGACAUUCUUCAGUCAGGCAUUGUUAAUAUUGGAAUGUUAGCUAGGCCUUAUCCAUUGUUCAAAUGCAAACAACUGACAGUUCAAUCAACCUCGCUAGAAAACGAGCUCCCUGGGAUAGCAGGUCUUCUACAAAGCUCACCUGAUCUGGAGAAACUAGUGAUAGAAGUGGUGAACUCCGUGCAGGUUUGAUUCUGCCCACCUUUCAUUACUUUGCCUUAACUGUUUGUUGCAUAUGUGAACGUCAGAUACUGAAGUGCAUCAGUAACUUUCUUCAUGAUUUUCUCCCCUCCUAUAGAUUUACCUUGUAAUGAUUCUUUCUUUCUCAGCCAUUAGCAGUGUUUCAAAAACAAAUAUGGUAUGGAAGUUGUUAUCUGACAAAUCUGUCUGUUCUGAUUAGUCAAUUUACAUCUUUGAAAUACAAUCAUUAGUGUGCAACACGGAGAACACAAAAGAUGAAACGUAUCAAAAUCAAACAAAUAGACACAACCUCAAAGAUAAACUCAGGUCCUUUGAGCCUUAAGGGGGGAACAUUCCUCAAAAUAGUUGUCUAAGUUGAUCUGAGGCCGAGUUCUAAGGUA
Long non-coding RNA from Sesamum indicum (sesame), 778 nucleotides. RefSeq lists it as uncharacterized. Lineage: Eukaryota; Viridiplantae; Streptophyta; Magnoliopsida; Lamiales; Pedaliaceae. The record is from RefSeq and is a predicted model, not a curated record.